Molecule: non-coding RNA, 90 nt
Organism: Mycena maculata
Lineage: Eukaryota; Fungi; Basidiomycota; Agaricomycetes; Agaricales; Mycenaceae
Source: the annotation of a GenBank genome assembly
CACUUGGUAGCACAGGGUGUGCAUCUGUUCUACGUUACGACAUAUUUCUCUAGCUAUGCAGGAGAUCUGGUUCGAUUCCGGGCUGGGUGG